AGUGAACGCUGGCGGUAGGCCUAACACAUGCAAGUCGAACGGCAGCACAGUAAGAGCUUGCUCUUACGGGUGGCGAGUGGCGGACGGGUGAGGAAUACAUCGGAAUCUACUUUUUCGUGGGGGAUAACGUAGGGAAACUUACGCUAAUACCGCAUACGACCUACGGGUGAAAGCAGGGGAUCUUCGGACCUUGCGCGAUUGAAUGAGCCGAUGUCGGAUUAGAUAGUUGGCGGGGUAAAGGCCCACCAAGGCGACGAUCCGUAGCUGGUCUGAGAGGAUGAUCAGCAACACUGGAACUGAGACACGCCCAAGACUCCUACGGGAGGCAGAAGGGGGAAUAUUGGACAAUGGGCGCAAGCCUGAUCCAGCCAUACCGCGUGGGUGAAGAAGGCCUUCGGGUUGUAAAGCCCUUUUGUUGGGAAAGAAAAGCAGCAGGUUAAUACCCCGCUGUUCUGACGGUACCCAAAGAAUAAGCACCGGCUAACUUCGUG
This 491-nucleotide ribosomal RNA is filed under the name uncultured bacterium. RNAcentral describes it as "partial 16S ribosomal RNA". It matches the Rfam family "Bacterial small subunit ribosomal RNA", at positions 29 to 507 of the family's 1533-position model. The record is from RNAcentral.